Molecule: non-coding RNA, 47 nt
Organism: Cephalotus follicularis
Lineage: Eukaryota; Viridiplantae; Streptophyta; Magnoliopsida; Oxalidales; Cephalotaceae
Source: Rfam
AUAAAGGAUCUCAUAAGAUCCACAUCAGUGAAACCGUUAAAAUCAUU